UCGCGGCCUAUCAGCUUGUUGGUGAGGUAAUGGCUCACCAAGGCAUCGACGGGUAGCUGGUCUGAGAGGACGAUCAGCCACACUGGGACUGAGACACGGCCCAGACUCCUACGGGAGGCAGCAGUAGGGAAUCUUGCGCAAUGGGCGAAAGCCUGACGCAGCAAUGCCGCGUGCGGGACGAAGGCCCUAGGGUCGUAAACCGCUUUCAGUAGGGACGAAAAUGACGGUACCUGCAGAAGAAGCUCCGGCCAACUACGUGCCAGCAGCCGCGGUGAUACGUAGGGAGCAAGCGUUGUCCGGAAUUACUGGGCGUAAAGGGCUCGUAGGUGGUUGAGUAAGUCAGAUGUGAAAUCUCAGGGCCCAACCCUGAGCCUGCACUUGAUACUGCUCUGACUAGAGUCCGGUAGGGGAGUGCGGAACUCCUGGUGUAGCGGUGAAAUGCGCAGAUAUCAGGAAGAACACCGACAGCGAAGGCAGCACUCUGGGCCGGUACUGACACUAAGGAGCGAAAGCAUGGGUAGCAAACAGGAUUAGAUACCCUGGUAGUCCAUGCCGUAAACGUUGGGCACUAGGUGUGGGGAGAACUCAACUCUCUCCGCGCCGUAGCUAACGCAUUAAGUGCCCCGCCUGGGGAGUACGG
Molecule: ribosomal RNA, 640 nt
Filed under: uncultured Actinomycetes bacterium
Lineage: Bacteria; Bacillati; Actinomycetota; Actinomycetes
Description: bacterial SSU rRNA
Rfam family: Bacterial small subunit ribosomal RNA
Source: RNAcentral